This 240-nucleotide unclassified non-coding RNA is filed under the name soil metagenome. Its description in RNAcentral is "partial contains 5.8S ribosomal RNA, internal transcribed spacer 2, and large subunit ribosomal RNA". The record is from RNAcentral.
AACGAGGCCGACCUGCGGCUGAGUUACCUGCGGAGGGAUCAUUACACAAUACAAUAUGAAGGCUGUCCGCAGCUGGAGUAUUUUAUUACCCUUGUCUUUUGCGCACUUGUUGUUUCCUGGGCGGGUUCGCUCGCCACCAGGACCACCAAAUAAACCUUUUUUAUGCAGUUGCAAUCAGCGUCAGUACAAACAAUGUAAAUCAUUUACAACUUUUAACAAUGGAUCUCAGAUCGGAAGAGC